UUUAAGCUUCCUACGGGAGGCUGCAGUGGGGAAUCUUGCGCAUUGGGUGAAAGCCUGACGCAGCCAUGCCGCGUGAAUGAUGAAGGUCUUAGGAUUGUAAAAUUCUUUCACCGGGGACGAUAAUGACGGUACCCGGAGAAGAAGCCCCGGCUAACUUCGUGCCAGCAGCCGCGGUAAUACGAAGGGGGCUAGCGUUGCUCGGAAUUACUGGGCGUAAAGGGAGCGUAGGCGGACAUUUAAGUCAGGGGUGAAAUCCCGGGGCUCAACCUCGGAAUUGCCUUUGAUACUGGGUGUCUUGAGUAUGAGAGAGGUGUGUGGAACUCCGAGUGUAGAGGUGAAAUUCGUAGAUAUUCGGAAGAACACCAGUGGCGAAGGCGACACACUGGCUCAUUACUGACGCUGAGGCUCGAAAGCGUGGGGAGCAAACAGGAUUAGAUACCCUUGUAGUCGA
RNAcentral lists this ribosomal RNA (451 nucleotides) under uncultured bacterium. RNAcentral describes it as "bacterial SSU rRNA". It matches the Rfam family "Bacterial small subunit ribosomal RNA", at positions 329 to 797 of the family's 1533-position model. The record is from RNAcentral.